RNAcentral lists this ribosomal RNA (1672 nucleotides) under gut metagenome. Its description in RNAcentral is "bacterial LSU rRNA". It matches the Rfam family "Bacterial large subunit ribosomal RNA", at positions 1227 to 2925 of the family's 2925-position model. The record is from RNAcentral.
GGUAGGGGAGCAUUCCACUCAGCGUUGAAGGCGUACCGUGAGGUAUUCUGGAGCGUGUGGAAAAGCAAAUGUAGGUAUAAGUAACGAUAAAGGGGGUGGGAAACCCCCUCGCCGAAAGACUCAGGUUUCCUGAUCAACGCUAAUCGGAUCAGGGUCAGUCGGGACCUAAGGCUCAGCCGAACGGCGAGGCCGAUGGCAGAACCGGUCAAUAUUCCGGUACUACCUUUGGGGGCGACGUGGAGACGCAGGAGUGACAGUACCGCCGGCUGACGGAAUAGCCGGUUGAAGGGUGUAGACGUUGAGGAUUGCAGGCAAAUCCACAGUCCGAGUCGAACCUGACAGUAUGGAGCGUCCUUCGGGACAAUCCAAUAGUGUAUGUAAGCAUACUGCCGAGAAAAUCCGCUAAGCUUAACCCCUGAGGUACCCGUACCGCAAACGGACACACGUAGUCGGGUUGAAUAUACUUAGGCGCUUGAGUGAUUCACGGUUAAGGAACUAGGCAAACUAACCCUGUAACUUCGGGAUAAAGGGUCCCUACCGGCAACGGAGGGCGCAGAGAAUAGGUCCAGGCAACUGUUUAACAAAAACACAGGGCUGUGCCAAAUCGAAAGAUCAAGUAUACAGCCUGACACCUGCCCGGUGCUGGAAGGUUAAGAGGAGAUGUCAUCGCAAGAGAAGCAUUGAAUUGAAGCCCCAGUAAACGGCGGCCGUAACUAUAACGGUCCUAAGGUAGCGAAAUUCCUUGUCGGGUAAGUUCCGACCUGCACGAAUGGUGUAAUGAUCUGGACACUGUCUCAACCGUGAGCUCAGUGAAAUUGUAGUAUCGGUGAAGAUGCCGAUUACCCGCGAUGGGACGAAAAGACCCCGUGAACCUUUACUAUAGCUUAUCAUUGAAUUUGGGCACGUGAUGUGUAGGAUAGGUCGGAGGCUUUGAAGCAGGUACGCCAGUAUCUGUGGAGCCGCUGUUGAAAUACGACCCUUCAUUUGUUUGAGUUCUAACUUGCGGUUGCAAGGACACUGAUUGGUGGGUAGUUUGACUGGGGUGGUCGCCUCCAAAAGCGUAACGGAGGCUUCUAAAGGUGCCCUCAGGACGAUUGGUAACCGUCCGCAGAGUGUAAUGGCAUAAGGGCGCUUGACUGGGAGACUCACAAGUCGAGCAGGUAGGAAACUAGAGCAUAGUGAUCCGGUGUUUCCGUAUGGAAGGGACAUCGCUCAAAGGAUAAAAGGUACUCCGGGGAUAACAGGCUGAUCCCUCCCAAGAGCUCAUAUCGACGGAGUGGUUUGGCACCUCGAUGUCGGCUCGUCACAUCCUGGGGCUGGAGAAGGUCCCAAGGGUUGGGCUGUUCGCCCAUUAAAGUGGCACGCGAGCUGGGUUCAGAACGUCGUGAGACAGUUCGGUCUCUAUCUAUCGUGGGCGUAUGAAAUUUGCGUGGCUCUGACACUAGUACGAGAGGACCGUGUUGGACUGACCGCUGGUUUACCGGUUGUGCCGCCAGGUGCAUCGCCGGGUAUCUAAGUCGGGAUCGGAUAAGUGCUGAAAGCAUCUAAGUACGAAGCCGGCCACAAGAUUAGAUUUCUCAGGGUCGUUGUAGACGACAACGUCGAUAGGAUGCAGGUGUAAAGGUAGAGAUACCAAAGCCGAGCAUUACUAAUUGCCCGUUCACUUUCUUUC